CAGAGGGCGCGAGCGUUGUCCGGAGUCACUGGGCGUAAAGGGCGCGUAGGUGGCCAGCAUAAGGCCGCGGUGAAAGUCCGGAGCUCAACUCCGGAUCUGCCGCGGCGACUGUGCGGCUUGAGCACUGUAGAGGCAGAUGGAAUUCCGGGUAAAAAAAGUGCGGUGGAAUGCGUAGAGAUCCGGAAGAACACCGGUGGCGAAGGCGAUCUGCUGGGCAGUGGACCGCAAGGUCCAAUAGCCGACACUGAGGCGCGACAGCGUGGGGAGCAAACAGGAUUAGAUACCCUGGUAGUCCACGCCGUAAACGAUGGGCACUAGGUGCUCCGGGGAGCGACCCUUGGAGUACCGGCGCUAACGCAUGAAGUGCCCCGCCUGGGGAGUACGGCCGCAAGGCUG
Molecule: ribosomal RNA, 396 nt
Filed under: uncultured organism
Description: bacterial SSU rRNA
Rfam family: Bacterial small subunit ribosomal RNA
Source: RNAcentral